AUUGAACGCUGGCGGCAGGCUUAACACAUGCAAGUCGAGCGGGGUGAUGGUGCUUGCACUAUCACUUAGUGGCGGACGGGUGAGUAAUGCUUAGGAAUCUGCCUAUUAGUGGGGGACAACAUCUAGAAAGGGAUGCUAAUACCGCAUACGUACUAUGGGAGAAAGCAGGGGAUCACAUGUGAACUUUCGCUAAUAGAUGAGCCUAAGUCGGAUUAGCUAGUUGGUGGGGUAAAGGCCUACCAAGGCGACGAUCUGUAGCGGGUCUGAGAGGAUGAUCCGCCCAACUGGGACUGAGACACGGCCCAGACUCCUACGGGGGGCAGCAGUUGGGAAUAUUGGACAAUGGGGGGAACCCUGAUCCAGCCAUGCCGGGUGUGUGAAGAAGGCCUUAUGGUUUUAAAGCACUUUAAGCGAGGAGGGGGCUCUUUUGGUUAAUACCCAAGAUGAGUUGACGUUACUCGCAGAAUAAGCACCGGCUAACUCUGUGCCAGCAGCCGCCGUAA
Molecule: ribosomal RNA, 503 nt
Filed under: uncultured bacterium
Lineage: Bacteria
Description: partial 16S ribosomal RNA
Rfam family: Bacterial small subunit ribosomal RNA
Source: RNAcentral